UGCGUUCUGGUUUCAUUUUAGAUAUUCCUCUUUUCCCUUUCUGGGGAAUGGGUCCAUACAUUCUGGCGUUGAUGGAUGUGCAUCUUAUCAGGAUCGAUGGAUGGAUGGAUAGUUUGGACGGUUGCUCAGUAGAUGUUCAUCGUUCGAGUCACAUGAUACAGUGCAGGGUAGUAGCUUGCAAGUUGCUGCAUCUAGCUGGUUCACCUGUAGAAUUUUC
RNAcentral lists this long non-coding RNA (217 nucleotides) under Hordeum vulgare. RNAcentral describes it as "long non-coding RNA (HVUL_LNC013684)". Lineage: Eukaryota; Viridiplantae; Streptophyta; Magnoliopsida; Poales; Poaceae. The record is from RNAcentral.